This 265-nucleotide long non-coding RNA is filed under the name Elaeis guineensis (African oil palm). RNAcentral describes it as "long non-coding RNA (EGUI_LNC072080)". The record is from RNAcentral. Lineage: Eukaryota; Viridiplantae; Streptophyta; Magnoliopsida; Arecales; Arecaceae.
CGGCAUAUCUGCAGAAGGACGACAGAUGGUCAGUACCGUAAAGAAGAAAGGAAAAGAAGAAAAAGGGCAAGAAAAAGGAAAAACCGACCUAGGCGGGGGACCGGGCUGAGGCCGGCGUCGUACAGGGCCUGCUCGGUGACAAGCUCACUCUGCUUCGGCAUCGAGAUGUCCUUCAGCCGGUGAAAGUCCUCCCGAUCUUCAGCCUCCACCUGACUGUUCUCGUUCGGCUCAGUUCGGGGAUUCUCCCAACGGAUAGGGAACCCCC